Homo sapiens (human) is the source of this 7660-nucleotide long non-coding RNA. RefSeq lists it as uncharacterized. Lineage: Eukaryota; Metazoa; Chordata; Mammalia; Primates; Hominidae. The record is from RefSeq and is a predicted model, not a curated record. The transcript has 2 exons.
UGUUCCUGGCCACUCCACGUCCCCUCGGCUGCCGUCCUGUGUGCUGCCCUGGGAGAGUGCAAGGAAGGGUGGCCCCCUGAGGCUGAUACGAAAUGCCUCAGUGUGAAUGCUCACCUCGGGCUGAGCCAACCCCUCCAGACACGUUCUGCAGCUCGAGGAAGGAACUGCCCUUUGCAGCUGGGAUCUGCCCGAGUUUCAGCAGCAGCCUUGAAUUGUAAUCCCGAGCGGCUGGCGAAUAACACAGCACACAGCACUCGAGAGCCCAGGUGAGUCCUAAGUGGGGCUGGGCUAUGGGAUCUCUGGCUUCUGGGCCUUUCUCAGAACAGACCCUCCAGGCCACUCUCCCCUACAUCCCCGGUUGCUGCACUGGGUGCAGGGGUCCAGAGCCAGGUCAGCUGCUGCCCAGGGAGAGGGCCAAGACUGCAGACCCCGCCAAGCCUGGGGGCAGCCUUCCUGACAACAGCACCAUUUGCUGCUUGGGAUCAGCCAGGCCGGCUCCCCGCAGAUGGGAGGGCUGUGAGGUGAGCACCAGCGAGCCCCUGGAGGUGCCAGAAAAUGCCAGUGUGGGCACCAGGGGGCUUCCUUGGGCUGGCAUGUCAGGGGAAGCCCACUGGGGCGGCUCAGUGCCCAUGAUGGAAGCUCAAGUCCCACGGUGCUGCCCCAGGAGCUAUACCCCAGUGAGGGUCGUUGGCUGGCGAUGUGUCUGGCUGGCAUGGGCUGCCUGGUAACGAGGGGGGCCCAUGUGUGAGGAGCCUUAGGUAAGGAUCCAGCUGGCACACCGAAGACCCCAGGCCAGGGGACACAGGCUGGGGGAGGGGGCUACAGAGACAUGAACCCAAAAGAGAAUGUCUGCUGACAUCCCAACCCUGACAGAUAACCAGCUGGGUGACAGGUGGGGGCUGUGCUCAGAUCACCCUCCUCUGUCCUGUGCACAUGUGUGGGUGCAUGGGAGUCCAUGCGUUGCUCCUGGCUUGCCCCCUCCUCUCCUCGGCCCAGCUUGUGGUGCUGCGCUGUGCAUGGAGCUCGGUUUCUUAGCAAGUUCAUGCCAUGAGCCGCCAGCUAGGCUGAGGAGGAGUGGGUCUGGGUGCCACUGGGGCGGUCUGGGCUUCCCUCAGCUCCAGGGCUCUUGCCCUUGCUAGCAUUGCUGUGAUUCUCACCAUUGCGCCCUGUUACAGAAGAGACAACUGAGGCAUGGGGAGGUGAUGGGACCCCCAGGGCCACCCGCAGGAGGUGGCCAGCCCAGCAGCCCUGCCCAGUCCCCCGCCGGCCUUGUGCUCCCAUCUGGGCCCCUAUCUGUAGUUUCCCCAGUUAACAAAAUCACAACAGUCAUUCCUGGUUGUUCUUGCUGAAUUCUCUCCAUUUGAGGAGCAGCAUUUUGGGGUCUGUGUCCUAAAUGGACCCAAUCACAGGAGUCACCCAGGGCACUGGCUCAGCCCAAGACAACACCUUCCCCCAUGUGGACACACACACAUGGGGGAAAGAAAACCUUGCCAACCCGCCCUCUAGCAAAGGGGCCUGGACUCGCAUUUUUAACAAGAACCAAGAGAUCCCGUGGAGGAGGUAGUCCACAGGGGGAAAAACACCCUUGAGUCUCAAGUCCCCCGUGGCUCCCCAGCUCUGCCAGUGGCUGCAUGGCGGGUGAGAUGAUGGUGGCUCUUGGGUCCCUCUGAGUCUUGCUGCCCAGGCUGGCACCGGCACAUUUUGUCUUGGCUCCAUGCUGUCGGGCCCUGAGCUGGGCACUGGGCUCCCUGAGUCUCGUGGGAGCUGUCUGGGUCCUGAAGCAAGUGGUGGCCCGAGCAGGGGAGGCGGUCCCCACCCUCGGGGACACUGUCUGCUCCGGCUGUGGGCUCCGGGGGCUGAGAGCUAUUUCGGCUGCACUGGCCUCUCCACUCCUGCCAGGCUUCAGUGAGCUAAGAUUGUGCCAAAGUCAACAGAACAGAAAAGAGAGGCUAUGGCGCUCUGUCAGGGAGAAAGCCCAAUUAGGAGGGGCUUGUGGGGGCAGGGCGGGAGUGCAGAGGGAGCCCCGGAACCUAGCCAGCCCACUGUGAUGACAGGGCCUUCGACAGCAGCCCAGCACUUGGACUGUGCAGAACUGCGGAGAUGGUGCUGUGAGCCUGGGGAGGGUGCCUUUCUCCCCAGGGGCCCGCAUGGGGCCAAGUCUACCAGACUUCUGAGCCGGCAUGUCUGGGUACAGGACCUGGCCCUGCAGAACUAGCCUGGGCAUCAGAGCCCACCAGAGGUGACUGCCAGCGGCCAGGACCCACCACGGAGUCUCAGGGAGCAGCACACGGGUGGGGAGCGGGUGGAGGGCACACAACGCUGGUGGGGCAUGGGCCUGGGCACCUCUCCAGCUGGACACUGCACAUGACACCCCAGGCCAGGCCAGGGUCCCCUGACUCACAGACCCCAGGCACAGGGACAUGCUGUUUUCCUUUUAGUCCAAGUGUACGGGGUGAGGAGCUGCAGCCCCCACCCUGAGGGCCUGCUCUGUUUAGAGGGGGUGCCAGGGUCCUGGGUCCCUCCCUCUGUUAGAGCUGUCUGGAAAUCCUGAGUCGGGUAGGUGAGGUAGGAAAGGGAGACCUCCCCACCCACUGCCCUGCCUGAGCGGCUCCCACGGUCUAAACCCUGUCUUGGGGGUGGUUCCCAGGAGGAGGCAGCAGAGCCUGGUGAAAAGAGACCAGACAGUGUGGACCUCCCUGGCCCUGGGAUCAACAGCCUCUCCUGGGCCCAGCUUCCCCAGGCCUGAGCUUGGGGUUGGAGGAUCGGCAGGAGAGUGAGUCCAUGAAGGCACCAUCCCCACCCCUCAGCACCCUUUCCCUCCAUGUCAUCUCGGCCACCCAUCUCAGAGCCCAGCUCAGCACCCGGGCCCUACUGGGCCACCCCGUCAGGCCCUGAGUCCCCAUGGAGGGUUUGGAGGCUGGAGGCCGGUCAGCUGGGGAGGGGAAGGGCAGAGGAGCAGGGGUGAGCCACUUGGCUCAGGGCUGAGGACCUCUCGCACUCUGGCCACUGCAGAGGGUGUCCGGCUGGGGCAGGAGGGCUGUGGGAGAGAGAUCACAUCGUGUGUGGGAGGGGACAGUCCCCUCCUGCCCAGUCCCCUCCUGCCCAGUCCCCUCCCCACAAGGCCUUAGGGAAGGGUGGGGGUGCCACACACCAUGGGCUGGUGCCCCCAUCCUGGCUUUGCCUACCUAAGGCUCUGGGAUUGGCAGGCAUGGAGUUCCCCAGCCCUGAGCGUGGCAGGGGCAGGAUGACAGACCCACGGUCCCCUAAGCCCUCCCUCCUCCACUUACACCCUCGCCCGCCAGACCCCAGUCAUUCUCCUGCCCUCAGGGCCUGGAUUCAGCCCCACCCCCAGCCUCCUUGUAAGCCCGGCCUUAUUAGUGCUGCUUCACCCCGACUUUGCAAGUCAAAUUCCGCAUUACUGCGCUCCUGCUCUGUUUCCACCUUGAUGCAUGGAGAGCUGGAGAGCAGCUGGAGCAGAGAAGGCACUGCAAUGAGGCGGCAACCCGUGCUGGCCAGGGGCCCCAGGGCCCAGAGCCAGGUGGGGUGGACCCCGAGGCCCUGUCUUUCCACAGGUGUCCAGGGUCACUCCCACCCCACCCUUGGCCUCCUGCUGGCUCAGCCCCACACCCCCACCAAAGGGCCAGGCUCCGGGUGAGUGAUCCUCAGGGCCCCCGCACAGGCUGUUCCCUCUGCACACAGGCUAUCCCUGCCUUCCUGUCCAGCCAGUGGGUGGGGAGAAGCGAGUCCCUCCUUUCAGGGAUUCUCAGGAACCGAGUGGCUAUCAGGGUAUGCAGCUGUGAUGCACGUGGCAGGAGAAGACCUCAGACGCCACAGCCUAGCUCUCUGUGGGGCAAGUGUGUCUCAGCCUCUCUCUGAGGAGAGGAGAGCCCCUGGACUGGAGGGUGCCCUGCUCAGCUCUGCCUGGGUAUUCUGUGGCUUGCAGGGUGGAAGGUGAAGGGCUGCAGGCGCUGGCCUUCCCAGGCCCCCCACUGUCUGCCCAGCUUUUCCUUCUUUGGCAGCCCCAGUUCCUUCCUUAUACCCAGUGGGACAGCAGGGCCCAGCCCUAGGGGCCGCAGGAGACAGACAUGCCCCAACUGAGACAGACAAUGGCCAGCAUGGCAGGUGGCCCAGUCUCGGCCACCAGGACGUCCUAGGAGGUACGGCCCCUCAGCUAAGCUGGCUGUCCUUAGUGGCCCAGCUCUGGCUCUGGCUGGUCCUGUGAACUCAAGAUGGCAGACACUGUUCCUGGUCUCAGGCCAGGUCUUGGGUGAAGAACGUUGGGUGUAGGACCCUGUACCUCUCCUCCUGGAACACCCCCAGUGGAUGGCGAGGUCACUGAGGCUCCAUCCAACGGGCAGCCUCCAGGGCAGCCCUCGCUCCUCCCUUGCCCUGGAGGUGGGCACGGGUCAGUGGAAGGAUGGGACUGAGGGGCUGGGCCCUUCACCGACCCUGGAAGGUGGCUCCCUGUGGCCUUCCCUGCAGUUUCCUGGUCCACUGUGGUUCAGCCUAAGACACAGGUGAAGGCCUGGUUAUCACUUGGCUGCUUUUGCCAAAAGAGUGGCUUCCAGUGAAAUCCUUUGGCUGCCGAAAGGCAAAGUCACCCUCCCUCCCUGUGGCCCCAACACCUGCAGGGUUUGUCAGCAGAAGGUUUUCACGGUCCACUGGGCAUUCGCGGGCCUUUGGCAUCCUCGAGGGCCUGCCUUUGAUUAGCACACACCCUUUGCUUGACCCAGAGGGUCCAGAUGGCACUGGCUCCACGGCAUGGCCUUGAGAAUUGAGGCCGGCUUCGGCGAGGAUGGUCCCACCUACUCUGGCCUUCAGGCCUUCACCAGGAGAGAUUCAGGCUGCUGGCCCAGCCAGUCUCUGCAGGGACACCCCGGUGGGCCCAGGGAGGGACUGGGGUCAGCUGGGGCCCUGGACUUACAGUGGAUCCCACUUCCCCCACGUCUUGCUUGGUUCUGGGCAUAAGGGUCCUAGUUCUUAGGGCCUGGCCUGGCCCUCUCACUGCUCCCGGGAAACCUCGGGAAACAUGGCAGGCUGUGUUCCCCAUCCUCAGGCUCCCAAGUCGCUUCUGUCCAGUCCUCUGCUGGUAUCUGUGACUCAGCACCAUGACGGGGCCCUGUCCAGGGCGUCCUGGGCAGAAGGCUGCUCCGAGUGCACAGCGGGCACCCCCAUGGACAGGCUGCGUCCAUGUGCCACUCCUUGGCCGCCCUCUCUUCAUCUGUAGUGAUGACACAGUGACCCCCACCUGCAGGCCUGGUGGCACUGCUGUCACCAGGCACAGGGAGCCUGCCCCCAACCUGGGUGGUGUUGUGGGAGUGGCUGGGCAAGGAACGCUGCUAUCCCUGCUGAGCUGGGUGGGCACUGAUGGGCAUGGGGACCUGGAGUGCUGACCCCUAGCCCUACUGUCGGCAGGCCACGCCUGCCCCUCUGGGGAACUGCUGUGUCCCCCUUGGCUGGCCUAGAAGUGCCUAGAAAUGUCUUUUAUGUGGGGAGUCGGUGGGUGAGGGCCCCACUGUCCCAUCCCUUGAGGAAGGGAGGGCUCUGGGCAGGGUCUGCACCAAUUCCCCAGUGCCUGCUGAGGCCUGUGGCUGCCUCAGGGACAGUGUCAGUCACCCCUUCACCCUGGCAUAGGUGUCCUAUUUCCAGAGUGUAGUGCUGGAUGCUUCUGUUUGGCUGUGUUAAUUGAGACCAGCUUUUACAGAAUGAGCCUCUUGGGGUGGGAAAAUCUGCACAGCCUUGGUGUUUAGGGUAACCUGAAAGUGGAGAGUGAGCCUGGGGUGCAGUCUCACUCCCCCAUGCCCCUGGGCACAGCUACCCACAGGCCCACAGCAGGCAGGCAGGACUGAUGCCAUCCUCCAGAUCCCCCGACCAGGCCCAGAGGUGGGGCCAGGAGAGAUCUGGGGAGUUGGUGCCACCAGAUUUCCCAACCAUGACAGGAUGUCGGGGGGUGGGGGGCAACAGCAGGACUGCCCCAGGCUGGGUCCCCACCCAAGUGAGGCUUGGUCGUGGCCUCAUGGCCAGUUUGUCCCUCUGCGGAUCUGGAGGGGUCCUCGGCUGCAGCAGGGGGCCCAGAUGAUCCUGACCUGGGGAUGGGAAGGCCUCUGUCCGUGGUUCCCCAGCAGAGCGGGGCCUGUUGAGAGGAGCAGGGGAUGGUCUGUUGAAGGAGUCGGUGAACGGAGAGGCAUGCAGGGAUGGAUAUGGACAGGGCGGGUGCUCAGACCCUACAGUCUGAGGUGGAGGGGUGGGGUUGGAGGCUGGAAUGGCCGCGGGGGAGCCUAGAGGGGUAGGGCUGUGGCUCCACCACUGUUGGCUAAGGGACCUCAGGGAGGGCUUCAGAGGCUGGGGCCCUGGCUCCCAAGGCCUCAAGACCCUCCUGCUCCCCCUGAAGGUAGCAGUGACCGCCUCUCAGAAACCCCUGGCAUCCCUGGAGGCUGCAGUCCCCCGCCCCGCCUCCACUCUUUCUCUCUGCUCUGUCAUUUUUCAAAAAUAAUUGUGCAGCAGCACCAGGCUGUCUCUGUGCCCCUCCUGUAGGUUGCCCUACCCCACCAGGUCCCUGGCUCGGCGUCCCCAGACUCUGCCAGGCUGGCCUCACCGUGUGUAUCGAGGUGUUCUCCCUGCAAGGUCUUCAUCAUUCCCCAAUUGCUCGCAUUUAUUUUUCUCCUUCCUUGGUGAGUGGCCCUGCCAGCCUCAGCCUUGUCUCUCCUUGGUGAGCGUCAUUAAUGCAGCUUCCGCGCCACGAUCAGAGGGGGCUGCCCCCACCCUGCCGGCCCUGCCGCUUCUCCUCUGCCCGCCUCGGGAUGGAUGUUCAUUUAUUGCCCAUAAAUCUCUGCACAGCCCUUUGUAAAGACAAAUUGGAGGCCUCCUGUUCCCCGGUGUUGGUUGGGCCGAUCGGUGGUGGGUUUAAUUGGCCCUUCCCGUGGAGGCUGCCCCUGCAGGAGAGGCUCGUUGUGGGCUGGGCCAGAUGCACUGCGUCUGCAGAAGGGGCCAUUCUCUGCCCCUCAUUUUGUCUAGCGUCUGAGGCUGGGCCAUGUGCAGGGACAAAGUGUGGAUCCUCCCUCGGGCUUCCAAAACAUGGCCUCCCCGCAUUCACGUGGCCUGGCAGCAGCCCAGGCCCAGGCAGGGCCCUCUCUCACCCAGGGGGUGAUGCCUGCAGCUUCAACAGCAACCUCCAGGAAGGAGGCGCAUGGGUUCGUUGAGGUGAUACAGGAGUGGAAGAGCUUGGUCCCUUGAAAUGAAUGAUAGGGAAAAGGGGAAGUGCUGCGUAGAGGAGGGUGUGAUCCCUGGCUGGGGCUCCAUCCCACAGACCUAGGUGAGGACAGGCAUUUUUGCAUUUCCCAAGACCACCCUGGCCUGCCACACCCCCAUCCUAUGACUAUAAAAACUCGCGAGACCCUGGCAGGCACGCACAAGCUGCUGGACGUGGAGAGGAGCGGAUUGGCAGAGGAGCACUCAGGCGGCUGGACGUCGAGAGGAACGCACUGACGGGCGCCGGCACCCCGGCAGGCUACCAACCGGCAGCAGAAUGACCUGGAGUUUGGCUGGGGCAGCCAGAGGAGAGCCCGGGCCCGACUCCAGGGGAAAACCGUCCCACUCCAUCUUCUUCUGCCUUCCCCCAUCUGCUACCUCCACUCAAUAAAACCUUGCACUCAUUCUCCGA